CCUAAACUUCUUUCCCCACCCCCGCCCCGCCCCCUACAGACCGUCAGGUGGGCCCAAGCGAUGUCUCGGAAUUUUAUUGGGCCGUAAAGCCGCCGCCCCCCCGCCCGUCCCUUUUAAGUCUGAUGUGAAAAGCCCCACGGUUCAAACCGUGGAGGGGUCAUUGGGAAAUUGGGGGGACUUGAGUGCAGAAGAGAAGAGUGGAAUUCCACGUGUAGCGGUGAAAUGCGUAGAGAUGUGGAGGAACACCAGUGGCGAAGGCGACUCUUUGGUCUGUAACUGACGCUGAGGCGCGAAAGCGUGGGGAGCAAACAGGAUUAGAUACCCCUGGUAGUCCACGCCGUAAACGAUGAGUGCUAAGUGUUAGAGGGUUUCCGCCCUUUUAGUGCUGCAGCAAACGCAUUAAGCACUCCGCCUGGGGAGUACGGCCGCAAGGCUGAAACUCAAAGGAAUUGACGGGGGCCCGCACAAGCGGUGGAGCAUGUGGUUUAAUUUGAAGCAACGCGAAGAACCUUACCAGGUCUUGACAUCUCCUGACAAUCCUAGAGAUAGGACGUUCCCCUUCGGGGGACAGGAUGACAGGUGGUGCAUGGUUGUCGUCAGCUCGUGUCGUGAGAUGUUGGGUUAAGUCCCGCAACGAGCGCAACCCUUGAUCUUAGUUGCCAGCAUUUAGUUGGGCACUCUAAGGUGACUGCCGGUGACAAACCGGAGGAAGGUGGGGAUGACGUCAAAUCAUCAUGCCCCUUAUGACCUGGGCUACACACGUGCUACAAUGGAUGGUACAAAGGGCAGCAAAACCGCGAGGUCGAGCCAAUCCCAUAAAACCAUUCUCAGUUCGGAUUGUAGGCUGCAACUCGCCUACAUGAAGCUGGAAUCGCUAGUAAUCGCGGAUCAGCAUGCCGCGGUGAAUACGUUCCCGGGCCUUGUACACACCGCCCGUCACACCACGAGAGUUUGUAACACCCGAAGUCGGUGGGGUAACCCUUCUGAGCCAGCCCGCUAAACGACGCUAACUU
RNAcentral lists this ribosomal RNA (1013 nucleotides) under Niallia nealsonii. RNAcentral's name for it is "bacterial SSU rRNA". It matches the Rfam family "Bacterial small subunit ribosomal RNA". The record is from RNAcentral. Lineage: Bacteria; Bacillati; Bacillota; Bacilli; Caryophanales; Bacillaceae.